This is a long non-coding RNA of Cygnus olor (mute swan), 637 nucleotides long. RefSeq lists it as uncharacterized. The transcript has 3 exons. Lineage: Eukaryota; Metazoa; Chordata; Aves; Anseriformes; Anatidae. The record is from RefSeq and is a predicted model, not a curated record.
GUUUAGCCUGGUUAGCAGCAAAUUUCUCUUUUCUUUUUCCCUGUAUCAUUUAAGAUGCAUUCUGGAACCAUAAUUUAGAAUCAAUGGUGAGUAACUGAAGGUUAACAGAAUGCCUGGUUGUCAAGUAUGCUUAAUGCUUUUCUAUAGUACAUUGUGGUAUGGUGAAGUCUGCUGGCUUGUCUGCUAGUUUGUCUGCUAGCUUGGUGAAGUACCAAGAUAUAUUGAAGAAUACAACAAUAUAAAAGGACGAGAUACUUGACCUAAUGUGGAUCAGCUUAAAAUGCGAAGGAUGAAGAAUCCAUUUUAAUGUGCAAGCAACAACUGAGGCAAAAUGACAUUUUCAAUAUCCAUUCAAGAAAUACUGGCUAAAAAAUAAUAGCUGCUAACAGUCAAAGAGAAAUAUGUUCUUUACUUCUCAGUUCUUAGUCCAUAUUUUCCUUUGUUAAUUUUAAACACUAGAUAAAACUGGAGAGUGUUAGAAUUAAAAGCUCAUAUUAAACAACUGAAUACAAGUGAAAUAAAAACAGUACAUUAAUCCAUUAUGUGAUACUGUGCUACUAGGUUUGUUAAAUAACAAGUUCUUAUUUUCAAGGGCUAUCGCAAAAUUGCUACUCAGUAGCAUUGUUCAGAUAAGGUA